Molecule: ribosomal RNA, 254 nt
Filed under: uncultured bacterium
Lineage: Bacteria
Description: partial 16S ribosomal RNA
Rfam family: Bacterial small subunit ribosomal RNA
Source: RNAcentral
CUUUCUUUGCUGGCGACCGGCGCACGGGUGAGUAACACGUAUCCAACCUGCCCUUUACUCGGGGAUAGCCUUUCGAAAGAAAGAUUAAUACCCGAUAGCAUAAUGAUUCCGCAUGGUUUCAUUAUUAAAGGAUUCCGGUAAGGGAUGGGGAUGCGUUCCAUUAGGUUGUUGGUGGGGUAACGGCCCACCAAGCCUUCGAUGGAUAGGGGUUCUGAGAGGAAGGUCCCCCACAUUGGAACUGAGACACGGUCCAA